CUAAGCAUAUCAAUAAGCGGAGGAAAAGAAACCAACAGGGAUUGCCUCAGUAACGCGCGAGUGAAGCGCGCAACACGCUCAAAUUUGAAAUCUGGAGCCCUCGGCUUCCGAGUUGUAAUUUGAAGAGGAUGUUUCGGUUGUGGCCUGGGCCUAAGUUCCUUGGAACAGGACGUCAUGGAGGGUGAGAAUCCCGUACAUGGCUGCAGGCUUACUUCCAUGUGAAACUCCUUCGAAGAGUCGAGUUGUUUGGGAAUGCAGCUCAAAAUGGGUGGUAAAUUUCAUCUAAAGCUAAAUAUUGGCGGGAGACCGAUAGCGCACAAGUAGAGUGAUCGAAAGAUGAAAAGCACUUUGAAAAGAGAGUUAAACAGCACGUGAAAUUGUUGAAAGGGAAGCGCUUGCGAUCAGACUCGCUCUCGGUUGAUCAACGUUCCUUCUGGUGCGUGCACUCUGCCGUUGGCGGGCCAGCAUCGGUUGGGGCGGCGGGACAAAGGCAGCGGGAAUGUGGCUCCUCUCGGGGAGUGUUAUAGCCCGUUGUGUAAUGCCGCCAGCCCCGACCGAGGUCCGCGGUUCUGCCUAGGAUGCUGGCUUAAUGGUCGUAAGCGACCCGUCUUGAAACACGGACCAAGGAGUCUAACAUCUAUGCGAGUCUUUGGGUGUCAAACCCAUGGGCGGAAUGAAAGUGAACGGAGGUGGGAGUCCUCGGAUGCACCAUCGACCGAUCCUGAUGUUCUCGGAUGGAUUUGAGUAUGAGCAUAGCUGUUGGGACCCGAAAGAUGGUGAACUAUGCCUGAAUAGGGUGAAGCCAGAGGAAACUCUGGUGGAGGCUCGCAGCGGUUCUGACGUGCAAAUCGAUCGUCAAAUUUGGGUAUAGGGGCGAAAGACUAAUCGAAUCAUCUAGUAGCUGGUUCCUGUGA
RNAcentral lists this ribosomal RNA (914 nucleotides) under Dactylellina gephyropaga. RNAcentral describes it as "LSU rRNA". It matches the Rfam family "Eukaryotic large subunit ribosomal RNA", at positions 34 to 963 of the family's 3401-position model. Lineage: Eukaryota; Fungi; Ascomycota; Orbiliomycetes; Orbiliales; Orbiliaceae. The record is from RNAcentral.